RNAcentral lists this long non-coding RNA (504 nucleotides) under Mus pahari (shrew mouse). RNAcentral's name for it is "RIKEN cDNA D930028M14 gene (MGP_PahariEiJ_G0004891.1)". Lineage: Eukaryota; Metazoa; Chordata; Mammalia; Rodentia; Muridae. The record is from RNAcentral.
CUUCUCAAGAGCUCCCCAACAUUCCUCCAAAGUCAGAGGGUGACCCCUCUGAACCUCCUGUUGGCCAGGCUCAGAGGAAGAGGAAACACUCAGGAAGGGAUGGAGAGAUGGACAGAACUGAAUAAAGAAUGCCUGUCGGGAGGAACACGGAGAGACGCAGAGGACUAUGAAAGGCCAGGAGCCGGAGACCCGUGGGCCUGGUGAGCUGCACAGACCUCUGCACUCAGUGGGAUUCCCAACAGGCCUUGCUCCAAGCUCCCAGGGUUACUCUGAGGUCUGCCUAUGUUGCGGAGCAGAGCUCUGAAUUCUCAGCCUGCCUUAAUUAGCUGUGGGACUGUCCAGGAUUCCAGGGACUCACGGAUCCUAUACUGCUAAAGUCACUGAAGACUCUGCCUGGCACGGGCCCUGGGUCGUUCUUCUAAGUCACCUCCUUAGACCCAGCAAUGCAAGGCUUGUCCCCCACAAGUGAGCUCUAGCUCCUGAGAUCUUCGGGGCUCCUGCACG